CUCCAGGAAGCAGCUCCCCUGUCCUCGCGCAAUGCUGUGUGGAGCGUUGCCAUGGUAACGCGCGGCAACGCUCCACACAGCAUCGCACGGGAGGACAGGGGAGCUGCUUCCUGGAG
This 116-nucleotide microRNA precursor is filed under the name Pelobates cultripes (western spadefoot toad). Lineage: Eukaryota; Metazoa; Chordata; Amphibia; Anura; Pelobatidae. The record is from RNAcentral.